GCUGUUUUUGGAGGGGUCUCAUAUUUUCAUUCGUCCCGGGGUUUUUGCUUUGUUGUCACUCGUCACAAUCAUCCAAAUUUCUCAAGCCAUAGAGAGAGGUAGAGAGGGAGAGGAUGGAGAACCAUAACCAGAUGGAGAGGGACGAGGCGGGGCCCAUGGCGGUGGAGGCGGCGGAGGAGGAGGAGAACGGGCAGGUGGGGUCCAGCCUGACCCUGGAGAGGGUGGCUGCGGCAAAGCAGUUCAUAGAGAGCCACUACAAGGCUCAGAUGAAGCACAUCCAGGAUCGUAAACAGAGGCGCUCGGUGCUGGAAAAGAAGUUGGCAUCUGAACAUGUACCAGAGGAGGAACAGAUCAAUUUGUUGAAGGAUUUGGAGCGCACAGAGACUCAAUACAUUCGCCUUAAAAGGCACAAGAUUUGUGUCGAUGAUUUUGACCUUUUGGCCAUAAUUGGGAGAGGGGCCUUUGGAGAGGUUAGACUGUGCCGGGAGAAGAAAUCUGGCAACAUUUAUGCCAUGAAAAAGUUGAAGAAGUCAGAAAUGCUCAGUAGGGGGCAGGUUGAACAUGUUAGAGCUGAAAGGAAUUUGCUUGCAGAGGUUGCCAGUCAUUGCAUUGUGAAACUUUACUAUUCCUUUCAAGAUGCUGAAUACUUGUAUCUAGUCAUGGAAUAUUUACCUGGUGGUGACAUGAUGACUUUGCUUAUCAGAGAAGAGUCUUUGACUGAAACUGUCGCUAGAUUUUACAUUGCACAAUGUGUUCUGGCCAUAGAAUCUAUUCACAAACAUAACUACAUUCACAGAGACAUAAAACCAGACAAUCUUCUGUUAGACAAAAAUGGUCACAUGAAGCUUUCUGAUUUUGGUCUUUGCAAGCCUCUUGAUUGCUCAAAUUUAUCUUCCAUAAAUGAAAAUGAAGUGCUUGAUGAUGAGAACCUGCAUGAGACAAUGGAUAUUGAUGAAUCCUUCCCAGAAACCAAAAAUGGGAGGCGCUGGAAAAGCCCGCUUGAGCAACUUCAGCAUUGGCAGAUAAACAGGAGAAAAUUGGCAUUUUCGACAGUCGGAACUCCAGAUUACAUCGCUCCAGAGGUAUUGUUGAAGAAAGGAUACGGCAUGGAAUGUGACUGGUGGUCACUUGGUGCGAUAAUGUAUGAGAUGCUGGUUGGUUAUCCUCCAUUUUACUCUGAUGAUCCAGUCACAACAUGCAGAAAGAUUGUACAUUGGAAAAAUCACUUGAAAUUUCCUGUUGAGGCAAGGUUGACACCUGAAGCAAAGGAUCUGAUCAGUAGGUUCCUUUGCGAUGUUGAAAAUAGACUUUGUAGAGCAGACCAAAUUAAGGCUCAUCCUUGGUUUAGAGAUAUCGCAUGGGACAGACUUUACGAGACUGAGGCAGCAUUUAAACCAGAGGUCAAUGAUGAACUUGAUACUCAAAACUUUAUGAAGUAUGAUGAGGUGGAUCCACCAGCACCUGGAAGAACUGGAUCUGGACCAAUGAGAAAGACGUUGUUGACUCCUAAAGAUCUCAGUUUUGUUGGCUACACGUACAAGAAUUUUGAGGCUGUCAAAGGGUUGCAUCAUUCAUCUGAUCUAAAGAGAAGUACAUCACUGAACCGGACAUCUGUUGACUCUUCUCAAAGUGAUUCUGUACUGGACUACUCCACUAAGUAUUCCUCGUACGACAUGGAAGCUCAGGUACUUGCUGCAUCAGAGGAUGUCAUGUCAGAGUGACUCGUAGCAUCUAGUAUGACAGGCGGACAGAGCCCUUCUAGGAACAUGCUGGGCACACCUGCUUGUUUUUUCCGAUAACCAAGAUUCAAUACAACAGUCGCCAAAAUGCUUUUCGUUUGGAACAAAACAAACCGCCAGACUAAUGCAAAGAGAGAUUUAUAAGAGGCGGGAACUGACGAGGCGGCUGAGUUCCAAAUUGUUCGCGUGUUGCCACAUAUUUUAACGUUUUCAUUUGAAUUCCUAUGAUUAGUUUGACAUAUAGCGAUCUAAGCGUCCUUGUUUUAUGCAAGUCCUCCAUUGCAUGACAUGGUUAGAUAGGAAGAGUGACAUUCGAAACAAACAUCAAACAUUGUUUCUUGUCACGUUGUAAUGGUCGGAUGGCACAGCCUAUCGCGAGUUAAAGGGACUCGUGCUUUAUUUAGUUUAGGACAACUUAAAGUCCAAAAUAAUCUGAACUGCCCUUUUACUUCUUGUACGAAUGAAUGAAAAAAGAACAUUUCCCAUGCCAAACUA
Molecule: RNA transcript, 2234 nt
Organism: Pyrus x bretschneideri (Chinese white pear)
Lineage: Eukaryota; Viridiplantae; Streptophyta; Magnoliopsida; Rosales; Rosaceae
Gene name: serine/threonine-protein kinase tricornered
Exons: 14
Source: RefSeq, a predicted model, not a curated record